UACGUAGGGUGCAGGCGUUAAUCGGAAUUACUGGGCGUAAAGCGUGCGCAGGCGGUUUCUUAAGUCAGAUGUGAAAGCCCCGGGCUUAACCUGGGAACUGCGUUUGAAACUGGGAGACUUGAGUGUGGCAGAGGCGAGUGGAAUUCCUGGUGUAGCGGUGGAAUGCGCAGAUAUCAGGAGGAACACCAAUAGCGAAGGCAGCUCGCUGGGACGGUACUGACGCUAAGGCGCGAAAGCGUGGGGAGCGAACAGG
Molecule: ribosomal RNA, 253 nt
Filed under: uncultured bacterium
Lineage: Bacteria
Description: partial 16S ribosomal RNA
Rfam family: Bacterial small subunit ribosomal RNA
Source: RNAcentral